GAGACCAAACCGGUCUCUCUAUUCUCUCCCGACCCGACUCUUCUCAUCCCCUUUCUUCCCAACCCUAGAGGCAGCGGCGAACCUCCCAGGCUUAGCGGCGGCGGAGGGCUAUGGAUGGCGGCAGUUCUGCGGAUGGAGACGGCGUCGCGGACGACGGCCAUGGCGCGGCUGCGGACGUGUCAUGGCUUGCCGAUGGCACCGGCGGGGCUGAGGUCAGGUCAAUCCAGGGCGUCGCGCUAGCCUCGGGCUGCGGUGGGGUUGAGCCAGCAUCGGGCCAGGCCGGAGACUUGGCUACAGCUGGCUCGGGCCUGGCCGGUGGCUCGGCUGCAGCUGGCUCGGGCCAGGGCACGGAAGUGGCUGGGGUCUCCGACGAGGGCAUGGCUGGGUCGUUCUUGGCAGCAGCUUCAGGCCAGGACGGUACUCAGUUGCCGCCAGCAACAUGGGCGUGUCCAGAUGGGAUGGAUCCAAAUUCGAGUUAUUUGCUCAAAAUUAAAUUGUUUGGCAACCCAAAGAAAGCUCGAAAGGACAUAAAAUGUUUUUGUUUUGAGAAGGUCAUCGACUGUGACUUGACAAAUUAUAAGGAUUUGGUCGAGUCAAUUGUAGAGCAGUACCCGCCGCGUUAUUUGGAAGUUGCACAUGUAAUUGUCCAUGGAGGAUAGAUGCUUCUACGACCGAGGAUAAGUGUACUAUAAUGGUGAAGAAAAACCCAUGUGGUCAUGAUUGCUCUAGUACAAGAAAGAAAAAGAAGAUGAAGAAUGCAACCAAGUAUUGGAUAUGUGAUAAGGUGAAGGAUUGGCUGAUUGAAGAUGCUACUCUCGGAGCAAAGGCAUUGCGCAAAAAGAUUAAAGAACACCACAAGGUUGACAUCCACUACAAGAGGGUAUAUAUGGGUAAGAAGCUAGCUCUGAAAGAACUAUAUGGUGAUUGGGAUAGCAGCUUUGACAAUUUGUAUAGGUUUAAAGCACAAGUAGAAAUCUCUUGCCCUGGUAGCAUAGUGCAGAUCGAUCAUUACACUAUAAAAGAAAAAAAAUAGGUUUAGAAGGUUCUUCUUUGCUUUGAAACCUUGCAUAGAUAGAUUCCUUAGUGGUUGCAGACCGUAUUUGGCAGUAGAUAGCACAUUCUUAACAGGCAGGUUUAAGGGGCAGCUAGCCAGUGCUACCGCUGUAGAUGGCCAUAAUUGGAUGUAUCCACUUUGUUUUGGAAUUUUUGAUUCCGAAACAAAUGAGAACUGGAUCUGGUUCAUGCAAUUGCUUAGGCAAUCCAUAGGAUCGCCAAGGGGUUUAGCCAUAAGCACUGAUGCUGGGCAGGCGGUGAUGACAGGGGUAAAGGAAGUUUUCCCAGAGGUAGAACAUAGGGAAUGCAUGUUCCACUUGGUGUCAAACUUCAAGAAAAAGUAUCACGGAAAGGUAUUUGAUGACCAUCUUUGGGCUGUUGCUUACUCAUGGAACAAGUAUAUAUUUGAGAAAAAUUGUGUUGCAAUGGAGACAGCAAAGCCAGUGGCAACUACAUAUCUUAGGAAGUGGCACACUAGGUUGUGGACUAGGAGUCAGUUCUCAACCAUUUGUAAGGUGGACUGUGUAACCAAUAACCUGGCAGAGUGCUUCAAUAAAUGGAUUAAGCACCACAAGUCCUUGAACUUGGAUGACUUAAUGGACAAGCUUAGGCAGAUGAUUAUGAUCAUGUGGAAUCGAAGGAGAAAAGUAGCAAAGAAGUUAGCUGGCUUAUUAAUUUUGCCCCUCAUAAUGAAGAAGUUGAAUGCAAAGAGUAGAGAGUUAAACUUGGAGGUGGUAGAAAGCUCAGAAGAAGUUGCUGAAGUUACUCAAUUGGGAGGCAGUGGGUCUUUGUCGUCAACUUGCAUGACAACACAUGUUCUUGUAGACAAUGGCAAGUUUCCGGCCUUCCUUGCAAGCAUGCUCUAGCAUUCAUCACAUCACUUGUCAAUGCACAUAUACAGAAUUAUGUGGACUCGUAUUACUCCAUUGACAAGUUUAGGUCAGCUUAUGGCCAACUAAUCCCUGCUAUGUGUGACAAGACCCAGUGGCCUGAAUCUAACCAUGGAUUCUUCAUGCAUCCACCCUAGUUAAAAGUUGUAGUUGGUCGGCCCCAAACUGAGAGGCAUAAGGGUUGUGGUGAGAAAAAGGGGGAAAGUGGCCAGCACUUGUGCCCUAUUUGCAAGGAAUACGGGCACCAUUGGCAUAAGUGUAAGAAUGGUAACAAAGAUGACAUUGCUGCUUUCAUGGCUGUGAGAGAACCACCAAAGAAGAGGAGGAAGACUACUAAAACAUCCGAGUCAUCCAUUGUGCCAAGAGGUGAUGACGCGCCGGCAACCGCUAUGUAUUUUCCACCAAGCCAAAACUUGGAAACUACAACCAAGAAGAAGGGAAAGCAUAACCAAACAUUGGAGACUACAAACAAGAAAAAUGCAAAAGGGGGGGAAAGGGCCACAAGGAAGAUGGAGCUUGCUAAAAAGGAUCAAAACAAUCCGAUGGUGCCAUUUGACAGCCCUGCAAUGGGCACUAGAAGCAAAAAAGCUUACCCAACUAGCCCUGCAAUGGGCACAAGAAGCAAAAGGCGGCUCAGCUUGUGAACUCCAUCUAAUUUCUUUCACUUAAUGUCACUUUUGUUGCUGCUCAUGUCAUGUCGUGUGGACUUGGAGUAAUGUAUGUGAACCUGGGUAUGAUGUGAGCCACUUUUGGGUUGCUAAUAUGAUGUAUGUGUGGACUUGGGAGUAAUGUAUGUGAACCUGGGUAUGAUGUGAGCCACUUUUGGGUUGCUAAUAUGAUGUAUGUGUGGACUUGGAGUAAUGUAUGUGAACCCGGGUAUGAUGUGAGCCUCUUUUGGGUUGCUAAUAUGAUGUAU
This is a long non-coding RNA of Triticum dicoccoides, 2859 nucleotides long. RefSeq lists it as uncharacterized. NCBI's taxonomy places the organism in Eukaryota, Viridiplantae, Streptophyta, Magnoliopsida, Poales, Poaceae. The record is from RefSeq and is a predicted model, not a curated record. The transcript is spliced from 6 exons.